ACUUAUUCUGGACCGGAGGGA
RNAcentral lists this microRNA (21 nucleotides) under Corchorus olitorius. RNAcentral describes it as "bdi-miR52". Lineage: Eukaryota; Viridiplantae; Streptophyta; Magnoliopsida; Malvales; Malvaceae. The record is from RNAcentral.